AUACAUGCAAGUCGAGCGAACUGACGAGGAGCUUGCUCCUUUGACGUUAGCGGCGGACGGGUGAGUAACACGUGGGUAACCUACCUAUAAGACUGGAAUAACUCCGGGAAACCGGGGCUAAUGCCGGAUAACAUAUCGAACCGCAUGGUUCGAUAGUGAAAGACGGUCUUGCUGUCACUUAUAGAUGGACCCGCGCCGUAUUAGCUAGUUGGUGAGGUAACGGCUCACCAAGGCGACGAUACGUAGCCGACCUGAGAGGGUGAUCGGCCACACUGGAACUGAGACACGGUCCAGACUCCUACGGGAGGCAGCAGUAGGGAAUCUUCCGCAAUGGGCGAAAGCCUGACGGAGCAACGCCGCGUGAGUGAUGAAGGUCUUCGGAUCGUAAAGCUCUGUUGUUAGGGAAGAACAAAUGUGUAAGUAACUGUGCACAUCUUGACGGUACCUAACCAGAAAGCCACGGCUAACUACGUGCCAGCAGCCGCGGUAAUACGUAGGUGGCAAGCGUUAUCCGGAAUUAUUGGGCGUAAAGCGCGCGUAGGCGGUUUUUUAAGUCUGAUGUGAAAGCCCACGGCUCAACCGUGGAGGGUCAUUGGAAACUGGAAAACUUGAGUGCAGAAGAGGAAAGUGGAAUUCCAUGUGUAGCGGUGAAAUGCGCAGAGAUAUGGAGGAACACCAGUGGCGAAGGCGGCUUUCUGGUCUGUAACUGACGCUGAUGUGCGAAAGCGUGGGGAUCAAACAGGAUUAAAUACCCUGGUAGUCCACGCCGUAAACGAUGAGUGCUAAGUGUUAGGGGGUUUCC
This 802-nucleotide ribosomal RNA is filed under the name Staphylococcus chromogenes. RNAcentral describes it as "bacterial SSU rRNA". It matches the Rfam family "Bacterial small subunit ribosomal RNA", at positions 51 to 835 of the family's 1533-position model. Lineage: Bacteria; Bacillati; Bacillota; Bacilli; Caryophanales; Staphylococcaceae. The record is from RNAcentral.